UAUGCUACAAGCAGUGGGAGCCCACUUUGUUGGGUGACUGCGUACCUUUUGUAUAAUGGGUCAGCGACUUAUUUUCAGUGGCGAGCUUAACCGAAUAGGGGAGGCGUAGCGAAAGCGAGUCUUAAUAGGGCGUCUAGUCGCUGGGAAUAGACCCGAAACCGGGCGAUCUAUCCAUGGGCAGGUUGAAGGUUGGGUAACACUAACUGGAGGACCGAACCGACUACCGUUGAAAAGUUAGCGGAUGACCUGUGGAUCGGAGUGAAAGGCUAAUCAAGCUCGGAGAUAGCUGGUUCUCCUCGAAAGCUAUUUAGGUAGCGCCUCAUGUAUCACUGUAGGGGGUAGAGCACUGUUUCGGCUAGGGGGUCAUCCCGACUUACCAAACCGAUGCAAACUCCGAAUACCUACAAGUGCCGAGCAUGGGAGACACACGGCGGGUGCUAACGUCCGUCGUGAAAAGGGAAACAACCCAGACCGUCAGCUAAGGUCCCAAAGUCAUGGUUAAGUGGGAAACGAUGUGGGAAGGCUUAGACAGCUAGGAGGUUGGCUUAGAAGCAGCCACCCUUUAAAGAAAGCGUAAUAGCUCACUAGUCGAGUCGGCCUGCGCGGAAGAUGUAACGGGGCUCAAACCAUGCACCGAAGCUACGGGUAUCAUCUUAUGAUGAUGCGGUAGAGGAGCGUUCUGUAAGCCUGUGAAGGUGAGUUGAGAAGCUUGCUGGAGGUAUCAGAAGUGCGAAUGCUGACAUGAGUAACGACAAUGGGUGUGAAAAACACCCACGCCGAAAGACCAAGGUUUCCUGCGCAACGUUAAUCGACGCAGGGUUAGUCGGUCCCUAAGGCGAGGCUGAAAAGCGUAGUCGAUGGAAAACAGGUUAAUAUUCCUGUACUUCUGGUUAUUGCGAUGGAGGGACGGAGAAGGCUAGGCCAGCCUGGCGUUGGUAGUCCAGGUUUAAGGUGGUAGGCUGAGAUCUUAGGUAAAUCCGGGAUCUUAAGGCCGAGAGCUGAUGACGAGUGUUCUUUUAGAACAUGAAGUGGUUGAUGCCAUGCUUCCAAGAAAAGCUUCUAAGCUUCAGGUAACCAGGAACCGUACCCCAAACCGACACAGGUGGUUGGGUAGAGAAUACCAAGGCGCUUGAGAGAACUCGGGUGAAGGAACUAGGCAAAAUGGCACCGUAACUUCGGGAGAAGGUGCGCCGGUGAGGGUGAAGCAUUUACUGCGUAAGCCCACGCCGGUCGAAGAUACCAGGCCGCUGCGACUGUUUAUUAAAAACACAGCACUCUGCAAACACGAAAGUGGACGUAUAGGGUGUGACGCCUGCCCGGUGCCGGAAGGUUAAUUGAUGGGGUUAGCGCAAGCGAAGCUCUUGAUCGAAGCCCCGGUAAACGGCGGCCGUAACUAUAACGGUCCUAAGGUAGCGAAAUUCCUUGUCGGGUAAGUUCCGACCUGCACGAAUGGCGUAACGAUGGCGGCGCUGUCUCCACCCGAGACUCAGUGAAAUUGAAAUCGCUGUGAAGAUGCAGUGUAUCCGCGGCUAGACGGAAAGACCCCGUGAACCUUUACUAUAGCUUUGCACUGGACUUUGAAUUUGCUUGUGUAGGAUAGGUGGGAGGCUUUGAAGCGUGGACGCCAGUCUGCGUGGAGCCAACCUUGAAAUACCACCCUGGCAACUUUGAGGUUCUAACUCAGGUCCGUUAUCCGGAUCGAGGACAGUGUAUGGUGGGUAGUUUGACUGGGGCGGUCUCCUCCUAAAGAGUAACGGAGGAGUACGAAGGUGCGCUCAGACCGGUCGGAAAUCGGUCGUAGAGUAUAAAGGCAAAAGCGCGCUUGACUGCGAGACAGACACGUCGAGCAGGUACGAAAGUAGGUCUUAGUGAUCCGGUGGUUCUGUAU
RNAcentral lists this ribosomal RNA (1888 nucleotides) under Pseudomonas syringae pv. theae NCPPB 2598. RNAcentral's name for it is "bacterial LSU rRNA". It matches the Rfam family "Bacterial large subunit ribosomal RNA", at positions 560 to 2434 of the family's 2925-position model. Lineage: Bacteria; Pseudomonadati; Pseudomonadota; Gammaproteobacteria; Pseudomonadales; Pseudomonadaceae. The record is from RNAcentral.